This 305-nucleotide ribosomal RNA is filed under the name uncultured bacterium. Its description in RNAcentral is "bacterial SSU rRNA". It matches the Rfam family "Bacterial small subunit ribosomal RNA", at positions 334 to 656 of the family's 1533-position model. The record is from RNAcentral.
UUUCCCUACGGGACGCAGCAGUGGGGGAUAUUGCACAAUGGGGGGAACCCUGAUGCAGCGACGCCGCGUGGGCGAUGGAGCGCCUCGGCGCGUAAAUCCCUAUCAGCAGGGAAGAAGAUGACGGUACCUGACUAAGAAGCCCCGGCUAAAUCCGUGCCAGCAGCCGCGGUAAUACUUAUGGGGCAAGCGUUAUCCGGAUUUACUGGGUGUAAAGGGACCGCAGCCGCCCUGGCAAGCCUGAUGUGAAAUCCCGGGCCCCACCCCCGGGGCUGCAUUGGGAACUGCCAGGCUGGAGUGCCGGAGAG